GAUGAACGCUGGCGGCGUGCCUAAUACAUGCAAGUCGAGCGAACGGACGAGAAGCUUGCUUUUCUGAUGUUAGCGGCGGACGGGUGAGUAACACGUGGAUAACCUACCUAUAAGACUGGGAUAACUUCGGGAAACCGGAGCUAAUACCGGAUAAUAUUUUGAACCGCAUGGUUCAAAAGUGAAAGACGGUCUUGCUGUCACUUAUAGAUGGAUCCGCGCUGCAUUAGCUAGUUGGUAAGGUAACGGCUUACCAAGGCAACGAUGCAUAGCCGACCUGAGAGGGUAAUCGGCCACACUGGAACUGAGACACGGUCCAGACUCCUACGGGAGGCAGCAGUAGGGAAUCUUCCGCAAUGGGCGAAAGCCUGACGGAGCAACGCCGCGUGAGUGAUGAAGGUCUUCGGAUCGUAAAACUCUGUUAUUAGGGAAGAACAUAUGUGUAAGUAACUGUGCACAUCUUGACGGUACCUAAUCAGAAAGCCACGGCUAACUACGUG
Molecule: ribosomal RNA, 497 nt
Filed under: uncultured bacterium
Lineage: Bacteria
Description: partial 16S ribosomal RNA
Rfam family: Bacterial small subunit ribosomal RNA
Source: RNAcentral